AAGACAAGAUUGUGCCAACAAAACCUUGGAAGAACAAGAACCUAAUUAAGUACAUAAUUUGUCUCUAUUAUGAAACCGCGAAGAACCGAGUAUGCUUCACCUUUGCAGCAACACAUGAGCAAUUGCCCCUGUAGAAUAUUAUGUAGAUUGAAGCCUAAGGUUUUUAUUUUCUUCACAUCAUUUAUCGCUGCUCCUUGAAGUUGCAGUUGCCAC
This 213-nucleotide unclassified non-coding RNA is filed under the name Hevea brasiliensis (rubber tree). Lineage: Eukaryota; Viridiplantae; Streptophyta; Magnoliopsida; Malpighiales; Euphorbiaceae. The record is from RNAcentral.